Molecule: ribosomal RNA, 522 nt
Filed under: Triticum aestivum (bread wheat)
Lineage: Eukaryota; Viridiplantae; Streptophyta; Magnoliopsida; Poales; Poaceae
Description: partial small subunit ribosomal RNA
Source: RNAcentral
AUGGUGGAACUGUGGUCCUCAUGGGCGCCCUUGGAAAUCAAAAUCUUUGCCUGGCUCGCGUUGCACAAUCGCCUAUGGACGGCUGAUAGACUUGCCAAGCGUAACUCGCAACAUUCCCUGGAGUGUGUGCUCCGCUGCCAAGAGAGGAGUCUGCGGACCAUCUUGUUCUUGGUUGCCCCUUUGCUCGUCAGGUCUGGUUCUCUGUGUUGCUGCCAUGGAGACUGCACAGAUUCGCCCCGCAUGCUGAUGAUGAAACCAAGAACUGGUGGCCUCGGCUCAGCUCCUUGGUUUGCCGCACCUUCAGGACGAUAUGGCUGGAGAGGAACGACCGCGUAUUUGAAAAGAAUCGCGGCCGUGGAAUCGGUUGUGACACUCAGAAUUAGGACUGAAUUUGCCCUUUGGUUGCUAGCUAGGACUAGUGGAUCCGUGGAUGUUGAUAUGAGGUGGGUGCUCGCCAAAGGCGUUGCACGUUAUGUACAGAGCUGUACAGGAGUUUGUAUUGUUUUCUCCCCCCUAUCUUAA